GAUGAACGCUGGCGGCGUGCCUAAUACAUGCAAGUCGAGCGAACGGACGAGAAGCUUGCUUCUCUGAUGUUAGCGGCGGACGGGUGAGUAACACGUGGAUAACCUACCUAUAAGACUGGGAUAACUUCGGGAAACCGUAGCUAAUACCGUAUAAUAUUUUGAACCGCAUGGUUCAAAAGUGAAAGAGGGUCUUGCUGUCACUUAUAGAUGGAUCCGCGCUGCAUUAGCUAGUUGGUAAGGUAACGGCUUACCAAGGCAACGAUGCAUAGCCGACCUGAGAGGGUGAUCGGCCACACUGGAACUGAGACACGGUCCAGACUCCUACGGGAGGCAGCAGUAGGGAAUCUUCCGCAAUGGGCGAAAGCCUGCCGGAGCAACGCCGCGUGAGUGAUGAAGGUCUUCGGAUCGUAAAACUCUGUUAUUAGGGAAGAACAUAUGUGUAAGUAACUGUGCACAUCUUGACGGUACCUAAUCAGAAAGCCACGGCUAACUACGUG
RNAcentral lists this ribosomal RNA (497 nucleotides) under uncultured bacterium. Its description in RNAcentral is "partial 16S ribosomal RNA". It matches the Rfam family "Bacterial small subunit ribosomal RNA", at positions 28 to 507 of the family's 1533-position model. The record is from RNAcentral.